This 746-nucleotide ribosomal RNA is filed under the name cyanobacterium enrichment culture clone 5_10_5.3.7_B05-T7. RNAcentral's name for it is "bacterial SSU rRNA". It matches the Rfam family "Bacterial small subunit ribosomal RNA", at positions 64 to 851 of the family's 1533-position model. The record is from RNAcentral. Lineage: Bacteria; Bacillati; Cyanobacteriota.
GAACGGAAUCUUUCGGGAUUUAGUGGCGGACGGGUGAGUAACGCGUGAGAAUCUGCCUUCAGGUUCGGGACAACAGCUGGAAACGGCUGCUAAUACCGGAUGUGCCGAGAGGUGAAAGCUUUAGUGCCUGGAGAUGAGCUCGCGUCUGAUUAGCUAGUAGGAGUGGUAACGGCACCCCUAGGCGACGAUCAGUAGCUGGUCUGAGAGGAUGAUCAGCCACACUGGGACUGAGACACGGCCCAGACUCCUACGGGAGGCAGCAGUGGGGAAUUUUCCGCAAUGGGCGCAAGCCUGACGGAGCAAGACCGCGUGAGGGAAGAAGGUCUGUGGAUUGUAAACCUCUUUUGAUAGGGAAGAAGAUAGUGACGGUACCUAUCGAAUCAGCCUCGGCUAACUCCGUGCCAGCAGCCGCGGUAAUACGGAGGAGGCAAGCGUUAUCCGGAAUUAUUGGGCGUAAAGAGUCCGUAGGUGGGUGACCAAGUCAGUUGUUAAAUAGUGAAGCUUAACUUCAUAGAGGCGACUGAAACUGGUCAUCUAGAGUGUGGUAGGGGUAGAGGGAAUUUCCAGUGUAGCGGUGAAAUGCGUAGAUAUUGGAAAGAACACCGGUGGCGAAAGCGCUCUACUGGGCCUGCACUGACACUGAGGGACGAAAGCUAGGGGAGCGAAAGGGAUUAGAUACCCCUGUAGUCCUAGCCGUAAACGAUGGAUACUAGGCGUUGCCCGUAUCGACCCGAGCCGUGCCGAAG